This 276-nucleotide ribosomal RNA is filed under the name uncultured bacterium. Its description in RNAcentral is "partial 16S ribosomal RNA". It matches the Rfam family "Bacterial small subunit ribosomal RNA", at positions 80 to 354 of the family's 1533-position model. The record is from RNAcentral.
UUUCUCCGCCGGCGACCGGCGCACGGGUGAGUAACACGUAUGCAACCUGCCCCUGUCAGGGGGACAACCCGCCGAAAGGCGGGCUAAACCCGCGUACAUGCCACCGGGGCAUCCCGGAGGCAGGAAAGGCUUCGGCCGGACAGGGAUGGGCAUGCGGCGCAUUAGGCAGUAGGCGGGGUAACGGCCCACCUAACCGACGAUGCGUAGGGGUUCUGAGAGGAAGGUCCCCCCACACUGGUACUGAGACACGGACCAGACUCCUACGGGAGGCAGCAG